GAAAAUCCGUUGACUUUAAAAAUCGUGAGGGUUCAAGUC
Molecule: transfer RNA, 39 nt
Filed under: Grammosciadium macrodon
Lineage: Eukaryota; Viridiplantae; Streptophyta; Magnoliopsida; Apiales; Apiaceae
Description: partial tRNA-Leu
Source: RNAcentral